GUCGAGGAUCAUUUGCAAUGGGCGAAAGCCUGACAAUGCGACGCUGCGUGGAGGAUGAAGGCCUUCGGGUUGUAAACUCCUGUCAUUCGGGAACAACCGUUUUGGCGUGAAUAACGCCGAGACCUGAUGGUACCGAAAGAGGAAGCCACGGCUAACUCUGUGCCAGCAGCCGCGGUAAUACAGAGGUGGCAAGCGUUGUUCGGAUUUACUGGGCGUAAAGGGUGCGUAGGUGGCUUUGUGUGUCACAUGUGAAAUCCCACGGCCUAACCGUGGAACUGCAUGUGAAACUGCGAAGCUAGAGUGCAGGAGAGGAGAGCGGAAUUCUUGGUGUAGCGGUGAAAUGCGUUGAGAUCAAGAGGAACACCGGUGGCGAAGGCGGCUCUCUGGAAUGCAACUGACACUGAGGCACGAAAGCUAGGGGAGCAAACAGGAUUAGAUACCCUGGUAGUCC
RNAcentral lists this ribosomal RNA (451 nucleotides) under uncultured bacterium. Its description in RNAcentral is "bacterial SSU rRNA". It matches the Rfam family "Bacterial small subunit ribosomal RNA", at positions 354 to 796 of the family's 1533-position model. The record is from RNAcentral.